RNAcentral lists this ribosomal RNA (460 nucleotides) under uncultured bacterium. RNAcentral describes it as "partial 16S ribosomal RNA". It matches the Rfam family "Bacterial small subunit ribosomal RNA", at positions 338 to 795 of the family's 1533-position model. The record is from RNAcentral.
CCUACGGGGGGCAGCAGUGAGGAAUAUUGGUCAAUGGACGAGAGUCUGAACCAGCCAAGUAGCGUGAAGGAUGACUGCCCUAUGGGUUGUAAACUUCUUUUAUAUGGGAAUAAAAUGUUCCACGUGUGGGAUUUUGUAUGUACCAUAUGAAUAAGGAUCGGCUAACUCCGUGCCAGCAGCCGCGGUAAUACGGAGGAUCCGAGCGUUAUCCGGAUUUAUUGGGUUUAAAGGGAGCGUAGGUGGAUUGUUAAGUCAGUUGUGAAAGUUUGCGGCUUAACCGUAAAAUUGCAGUUGAAACUGGCAGUCUUGAGUACAGUAGAGGUAGGCGGAAUUCGUGGUGUAGCGGUGAAAUGCUUAGAUAUCACGAAGAACUCCGAUUGCGAAGGCAGUUCACUGGACUGCAACUGACACUGAGGCUCGAAAGUGUGGGUAUCAAACAGGAUUAGAUACCCUAGUAGUC